This 1512-nucleotide long non-coding RNA is filed under the name Oryctolagus cuniculus (rabbit). RNAcentral describes it as "lncRNA (ENSOCUG00000030447.1)". Lineage: Eukaryota; Metazoa; Chordata; Mammalia; Lagomorpha; Leporidae. The record is from RNAcentral.
ACCCUCUGCUUCUAGCCCCAGUGAUGCGGGGUGGGGGUGGGGUGGGGGCAACAUGGACGCUGCUCCCAGAAGCCCACCCUCCUGAUGUCUGACCCGAGCCCUCCUUGGCGCCUUGGACCUGGCUGGCGUCUCUCAACUCCCUCCCAGGGCCAGCAGCUCCGCUGCGGGGGCCCGGGCUCCUCUCCCUCUGCACGUUCCCCCCGCGUGAGCUCAUCCCGCCCAUGGCUGUAAUUCCGGCGGAUGGGCCGCGGCUGCCUCUCCAGUGCGGGCUUGUCUCCGAGCUGCUCCACUCGUGGACACCUCUGCCUGGAUUCCUGCCCCCCUCCCCCCGCGCUCCACCUCCACAUGUGUGAACUUGAAUGCAGUCUGAACCUGGCCUCCUCCCUUCUUAUCUCAGCGAGCAGCUCCUCAGGUGCCUGUCAGGAACCUGGGCGGGAUUCCUGCCUCCUUCUUGCUCACCCCCCACCCUCGGGUCAGCCCCUGCUGCCCUUUCCUGCGCCCCCACACUAGCGCGGGAGGCGGCGGCUGUCACAGUGGUCGGUGGGCGCCCCUUCCUCCAAGCUGCCCUCCACCCCGCCUCUGAGGAUGAGGGGCACCUUCUGUCCAUCUCCGCUCACCUGUCACUGCCGGCUGUCGAGGGCCACUGUUCUCCGUGUGAAUGGAUAGAGCUGGCUGAUUUCACACUUUUGCCCCACCGUCCGUCUCCCCUGGAUCCGUGGAUUAGCAUAUUAGAAUAUUCUCCCCACUGGGAGGAACAGGGCUGAGGAGGGAGCGCCCCAACACCAGCGCAAGCCGGGGUCCCCUCGUCGUGGGCUCUGUCUUCCUGUGGACCAACGCCUGGCUGAUGGGUUCACGGCGCCUCUGAUGCACGGGCUGUUCUUGCUCAUAAGGAUGGACCGACGUCAGCUGACCUGCAUGUUCCUUCUCAGGUCUAGGGGGUGCGGGGUGGGGGCGGUCAUGGUGUGGCCUUCCCCAGCCCCUUUGCUGCUGGGCAGGCAGGGCCAGAGGUGGAGAUGAUUACCUGGGGCCCACCAGAGGGCGCUCCUUUCCCAGUGGCCGCCCCACACUCACUCCUGAGGCCCUGGCCUUCCCCAGGCCUCUCUCCCACUCACCCUCCUGACCCUCAGUCAGAGUAGGGCUCCACCUCCUACAGAUCCCAAAACAGAUCUUAGGGGAUCAGCACUGUGGUGUAGCCGGUAAACCCGCCAUGUGCAGGGCCGGCAACCCAUAGGAGCAUUGGUUCAAGUCCCGGCUGCUCCUCUUCUGAUCCAGCUCCCUGCUAAUGCACCUGGGAGAGCAGUAGAAGAUGGCCCCAGUCCUUGGGCCCCUGCACCCAUGUGAAGAGACCUGGAAGAAUCUCCUGGCUCCUGGCUUCAGAUUGGCCCAGCUCUGGUAGUUGCAGCCAUUUGGGGGAAUGAACCAGUGGAUGGAAGAUCUCUUUCUAUCUCUAUGUCUCCUCUCUGUGUAACUCUGUCAAAUAAAUAUUAAAAAAAAAAAAAAAAGCCCCCGACC